Molecule: non-coding RNA, 76 nt
Organism: Podarcis lilfordi (Lilford's wall lizard)
Lineage: Eukaryota; Metazoa; Chordata; Lepidosauria; Squamata; Lacertidae
Source: the annotation of a GenBank genome assembly
GAUCUUAGGUGGUGCAAUGGGUCAAUCCAUCUGGCUUUGAACCAGAAGGUUGGUGGUUUGAUCCCACCAAGGGACA